RNAcentral lists this transfer RNA (77 nucleotides) under Candidatus Berkelbacteria bacterium. RNAcentral describes it as "tRNA-Arg". It matches the Rfam family "tRNA". Rfam says of the family: Transfer RNA (tRNA) molecules are approximately 80 nucleotides in length. Their secondary structure includes four short double-helical elements and three loops (D, anti-codon, and T loops). Lineage: Bacteria; Candidatus Berkelbacteria. The record is from RNAcentral.
GCGCCCGUAGUUCAGCUGGAUAGAACAUCGGCUUGCGGAGCCGGAGGUCAGAGGUUCGAAUCCUCUCGGGCGCACCA